GCCGGGUUCCAAGCGGGCCCACAUGCGCCGCGACACGGUUGCGGCACCGACGGAGGAGCAGCGCAAAGCCAGGCGCCGCCGAUUCGCCCCCCGCUCGCCGCCGCCGGCUGCUCCUCCCAAAGCCCCAGACUCUCUCCACCAAUGCCGGCGCCGCCCGCCCCGGCGCCGCCCAGCGCGUCGUGGCGCUCCGCUGCGUGGCGCCGGCACGCCAGCCCCGCGGCGGCGGCGUCCUCCUCCUCCACUCCCAAAUCCCUCCUGCUUAUCCUCCCAGUCCUGCUGCUCCUCCUCUUCGCGCUCUCCAGAGCCCCGGAUCUCACCUUCUCCAGCACCUCCACCUCCGCCGACGCCGCCGACUCCUCCUCCUCCUCCGUUGAGGAGCAGCUACUGGGAUUACCGCACUCCUUCCCCCUCCACGGCCGCCCCUUCGACUGCUACGCCUCGCCGCAGGCCUCCCCGGUCGUCGCCAACCUCGUGGAGGGCGUGCCGCACCCCUUCUUCUACUCGCUCGCCGACAUGGGAGCUCUCCCCGACCACCCCCACAAGAACAUCGCGCGCCUCCUCAAGGGCAAGCGGUUCCGCAAGCCCGACAUCUCCGAGACCAUCCAGGAGCUGCUCGCCGGGGAGGUGGGGAGGGGCGGGCCGUCCAGCGGGGUCGUGGUCGACGUGGGGGCCAAUGUCGGCAUGGCGUCGUUCGCGGCCGCCGUGAUGGGGUUCCGGGUGGUGGCGUUCGAGCCCGUGUUCGAGAACCUGCAGCGGAUUUGCGACGGGGUGUACCUCAACCGGGUGCAGGACCGUCUUGUGGUGUAUCACGCCGCGGCUUCAGAUCGACUUGGGAACAUCACUAUGCAUAAGGUGAUUGGCCGACUUGACAACAGUGCUAUUUCUGCAACUGGUGCAAAGUUAGCAUUCAAGUCUAAUGAAGGAAUUGCUGUUGUGGUUUCCACAAUUCCAUUGGAUGAAGUCAUUCCAGAUACUGAGCGAGUUCUUAUGAUCAAAAUUGAUGUUCAAGGUUGGGAAUACCAUGUAUUGAGAGGUGCAUCGAAAUUGCUUUCAAGGACAAGAGAUGAAGCUCCCUAUCUUAUAUAUGAAGAAGAUGAACGCCUGCUGCAGGCAAGCAACACCAGCACACAGGAGAUAAGGGCAUUUCUCUCUAGUGUUGGUUACAAUGAUUGUACACGGCGUGGCACUGAUGCUCACUGUACAAAAGAAUAGGCAAAUUGGUUUCUGACUGGUGCUCUGAUGCUCCUAAGCUCAAGUUGUGUAUGAACACAGAAGAAUCAAUUAGGAUGUCUUGAGCUAUAUCAAAAGCAAAUUUUGCCCCCUUUGUCAGUCAGCAGACCAGGGGUUUACACAUUUCAUGUGUCCAAUAGUUGGGUUGCCUUGAGUUCCAUGGUACCCUUGUUCCUUUUACCUUUUAGAAUUUCACCAUCUAUUUCGAUCCAAGGGAUGUGUGCAAUCUUCGGCCAGUCAACGCCAUAUUCUUUUAUCAGUCUCUCCUUGAGAUGUGGGUGACAGAGUGCAACUUCAAUCUUCCUAAUGGAUAGUGGCAGAGGUUCCUCUGGCAGUGAUUCCAAUGCAGGGCAGUUCCAUAAGACCAACUUAUACAGUGACUGUAUUCUGGACAGGGUUGAAGGAAGUGAUUGCAGAGUAUUGCAACCACUUAUACAUAAGCUCUGGAGUGACUUUAGCUGUAGGAGAACAUCGUUAUCGUGUGCAGUGAAGGAGGUGAUUUCUGAGCAAUCUUGGAUAUCUAGGCUCUCAAUGAGCUCAAGCCUUUCUCUUAAAAGAGGAGACCUUAGUAUUGUCAUUUGAUCAGUGAUAAUGCUUCUAAGUAACCCAAAGCUUGCAGUGAUUUCACUGGUUGUUGGUGAGGAUAAACUUGCAAGUAACAAGGGGCAGUUGAAUAUGCAAAGGGAUGAGACACUGGAUCUAGCAGUGGUUGCAUGUGCCAACUUUACAUCAUGGUGGUAUGGCAUCCAGUACCCUUUUUUUGCAGUUGUUAUCUCUGUAAGAUUAGGAGGUACUGGAGGCAGUGCUUUGAGCUUUUUGCAAUCCUUAAUCACAACAUUGUGUAGAUUCAUCAUCGUAUGGCCACUCCAUAACCACUCAUUGAGUUCUGGCAUGUCAUCAAGCACCAGCUCCUCCAGCGACUGGAAAGGCUCCUGUUGGCUGCUACUGCCAUAUGCCUCUGGGCCUAUCUGCCUCAGCAUUUUCAAACGCUGCAACCAGAUUGUUCUGACGGAAGUAAGUUGACCAAGUGGUGGAAGCUGCUCCCAUGCAUUGCAGCCACUUAGGAAAAUAUGCUCAAGAUUACCAAGCCAUUCGUUCUCAAGCCAACUAGGGGAUUUGACUCCCAUCCAACCCAUGAUGUCAAGUCUCUUUAGAUUUUCGUGUGGCUGGAGGGCUUCUAGCACAUCCUCUUCCCUAUUUGUAUUUACCUCAUCUCGAUCAGGCGCCCACAUUAGCUGCAGCACAGAUAGUUGGCCUUUCUUACACAGCAUGGCUUCUUUUGCGUCAUCAGGUGUAUUGAUAUUCUCAAGGUUUCUGAUCUGCAGGGAUCCUUGGAGCUCUAGUAGAUACCCAAGCUGAACUAUGCUUUGUGUUUGCUCUCUGGUAACCUUAAAAAUUGGCAACCUCUGAAGGCAUUUCAACCUGCCAAUGUCUGUUAUGGAGGAAACAAUCUGAUUAGCUGCUGUGAGAUGUCUUAGAUUAACCAAGUUGUUCAUUCUGGAAGGCAAUUUUCCAAGCCUGCAACCUGAUAAAUUCAGAACCUGCAGGUGGUAGAGUUUGCACAAGAAUUCUGGUAGUGUGGUGAUGGUAGUUGAUGAGAUAUUUAGGUACCGGAGAUGCACACAUUGCCGUAUGCUAUCAGGAAGUCUGUCCAUCAUGCAUGGUGAUAAAUCCAAUACUCGGAGGCUUUUUACAUUAUCUAGAACUACUUGAGGGAUGGAAGCUUUGAUUGGAGCCACUGUAUUGCUAGUGAGGAAAAUGAGAGUGCGCAGGUUCGUGUAUGGGAUUGUGUCAUCAAGUGCUGAAAGGCUAUCUAGAUGCACUGACAGAUGGCGUACUGAUGAUGGGAUUCUUGUCCAUUCAUCAUCUCCUAUUCUGAAGCAUUCUUCUGUUGCAACUGCUUUUGCAAGCUCAUAAAUUACAGGAGGCAUCACAUAAUAGCUGACAAAUUCUUUCUUCUGAAUUGCGAAGAAGGACUUAUUGCACAGAUCAUUUAUGUAUUCCUUCCCAAUGUCCUCCAUUCUCCUGCAACCUUGUGCUAUCCACUGGAGAAUCAGCUGCUCAGCUUCAAAUUCCCAGCCCCUGGGGAAGAUGCUGCAAUAUGCAAAGCACUGUUUUAGGUGUCUAGCUACAACCUUUGCAGCAAGAGGAAGACCACUGAGUGUCUCAGCGAUUUUCCUUCCGAUGUUCUCCAAUUGUGAGUUGAUGUUGUGGCUUGUCUCAUCAAACAUACAAGACUUUAUCAGGGACCAACAGUCAUUAACUAGCAAGGCCUCCAAACAAAUUAUAUAGGACGAUUGCAACAUCUCAGCCACCAUACGUGACCGAGUUGUCAGAAGUAUCUUGCUCCCCUUUGCUCCACCCUUUAGGGGGGCUAGCAGCUUCUGCCAGUUCUCUUGUUCUAUUGCUAUUGUAAUGUUGUCAUUGUUCCAAACAUCAUCUAAGACAAGGAGGAACCGUUUUGAAGCAAGCCUUGCCGUCAGCGCCACUUGAAGUCUAUUGAAAUUUGUUGUGCCAUCAUGCCUAAACCGACUGCUGGAAGCUGACUCCAGCAUUUCUUUUGUGAUCCUCAACUCGUCAAAGAGAUAAGUAACAGAGAUCCACAUUCUCACAUUAAAGUUCUCAGUUAUUCUAGUGUCGUUGUACACAUGCUGUGCUAGAGCAGUCUUGCCUAUGCCACCUACCCCAACAAUAGAGACAACAGAGACUGGAUUCUCAUCCUGAGAGCUUGUUAGAGCGGUUACCAACUGUUGGGAUUUGAAGUCCCGCCCAAUGAUUUUCCCAUGGAUUAUUGAGCUAGUCAUGGUGUUGCAAUUGUUGCUCCUGAUGCUCCUGGGUAGGCUGAGUGCUUCACUAACUCCACUUGCAACCUGCUCAAUACGCUCCAAUAGAUUUACCAUCUCAUUCUUUACCUUGGUUGAUCUAUCCCAACAUGGCUCCGGGCUAGAAGCUGGGGCACCUUGGUUGCGAAACCGGGAAUGCAUGAAGGUGCUGAUUGGGCUACUGCUGCUCCCAUUUGCACUUGAUUCUUCCAUUUCAUGGUGGAGGCGGUUGUACUCAAGCUUGUCUAGGAGAUCUUCUGCAUGAUACAUGCAAUCUCGGAGCUCCCGCAUCCAUGGAAGAGAGCUGUGGGAGAGUGUGGGCGCCAGCUCAGUUCCAUGGAGAACUGACUGUGUGCGAAGCAAAGCAACACGAAGCCUGUCUAGCUCAUGGUCGAUGCCACAGUUGACUGCCCACCUCUGGAGCUUGUAGGAAAGAUACUUGUCGAAGAUAACCUGGAUGAACCAGCCACCUAUAGCCAGGUAGCUGGAGAUGUCCAUAGUGCAGAUUAUUGAACUUGCUGUUUCUUCUUAGGAUCAAUAUUGAUAUAUUAUAUACUAUAUAUACUGCCACUCUGCCAGGCUACCAGGUCAAAGUCUUCCACCAAGUCUUUGUGAAGUUACACACCAGGUCAAAGUCUUCCGCCAAGUCUUUGAGAAGUCUUCCACCAACAGUGGAAUCUAUUCAAUUUUAAAAUGACACAUUUCUCAGCUUUGAUCAUUUAUUGCAUCUCGAUGAACCUUAAUGCACUGUUUUCAGCUAACCCUUGUUGCUGUGUUAACCUGAAGUGACUGUUUGAGUUUCGAAUUCAGUAUUUAGUCCUAGAAUUUGUUUGGAUCUUAGACAGGCCUGUAGCACUUCGUUUUCAAGAAGUUAAUGUUUUAGUUAAUCAGUUGGAAAUGAAUGCAAGACAGGGGUUUAGUUAGAGUAUCACCAGUUUACUUUUAAUGGAAUUUAGGACGAAUUCUACACACUGGCUGAGGUUCAGACAUUAUUUUGCAUUGAAAUGGAGAAGACGUCGGAGAAAUUUGAAGGUAGCACACAUUUAUAGUUCUGUUCAUAUACACUAGUUAAAUCCUGUUGGAACCAUUCAUAUUAUGUACAAAUUGUGGAGAUUCAAAUUUCUUAUGAAGAAUCGGUUCUUUACCAGGUUACUAAGCCGUAAUUUUAACUGUACCUAUGGAUAAUCAGUUGUGACUAAUGGUUACUUUGUUAUGAAGAUAGGCUGGAAAUAAUAGCUACAUUUGUGGUCACCAAGAACCUACAGAGCAUCUGUUUUUUCAAUGCCUUUUUGCUGAACUUGCGUGGAGUACAAUUUGUAGGAGUUUUGGUGUGGAGACUACAAAGAUGUUUUGGUUGACUUUUUCUUCACUUGUGGAAAUAUCAGCUUCCUGCAAAUUCCAAUUGCCUUUGGGCUGGUUCUGCUACUAUUAGUUGGGCCCUUUGGAACAUGUUGGGCCUAUAAACCACGCCGCUGCGUACCAAAACUUUGUGCUUUCCUCACAUACUAGGCAGAGGCAGGUUUGGUCUAAUCUUCCAGUAGAGCACAUGAAGGAAGCCAGACUAAUAAAUAAAAGGUAUUACCAAGUGAGGUCCCUUUAAGGAGGAUUUUGAUAUCACUGAUGUUAUGGGAUCUUGUUAAACCCUACUAGGUGGUAGCUGGAUUAGUUCUGUGCUUUCCCUCUAUGCAAGACUUGUGGGCUUGAUUGACAGAGGGAUCGCAGUUCGCAGGGGAGGUUCUGUUCUUCUGUGAAAGAAAUACUUAAGUAAAAACAUGAACGUGAAGUAACCCAUUCUACUGAAA
RNA transcript from Setaria italica (foxtail millet), 5854 nucleotides. RefSeq lists it as uncharacterized. The transcript is spliced from 4 exons. NCBI's taxonomy places the organism in Eukaryota, Viridiplantae, Streptophyta, Magnoliopsida, Poales, Poaceae. The record is from RefSeq and is a predicted model, not a curated record.